UAUGCCUCAAGAAUGGGAACUGAGGAGUUUGGACGGGCGGAAAACAAGGGAAGAGUGCAGGCAUCCGCGGCAUGCAGAUGAUUCAUAAAAAACACCCCAUGAAAAGACAAUCCCUUGAUUGUAUCAAAUGGCAUAAGCUGCAAUGCCGCUCCUGGAAGCUGAAUUCAGAUGGUGCCAUAGAGUACUUUAUGGCAUCUAGCACCAUUUGAAAUCAGUGUUCCUGGGCCGGUCCUGACAUCAUGUGGGGCAUCUAUAUAUUGUGGAUUGCUGACAUUCUACUGCAUUGUUUGUGAUUUAUGUGUUUAAUAAUGUCUGAAAUAAACAAAACUCAUUUUUUGCAUGCUUUAAA
This is a long non-coding RNA of Danio aesculapii, 349 nucleotides long. RefSeq lists it as uncharacterized. The transcript is spliced from 2 exons. The record is from RefSeq and is a predicted model, not a curated record. NCBI's taxonomy places the organism in Eukaryota, Metazoa, Chordata, Actinopteri, Cypriniformes, Danionidae.